GGCUGGUUACCUCAGUUGGUUAGAGCGUCGUACUAAUAACGCGAAGGUCGCGGGUUCGAUACCCGUACUGGCCA
Trematomus bernacchii (emerald rockcod) is the source of this 74-nucleotide non-coding RNA. The record is from the annotation of a RefSeq genome assembly. Lineage: Eukaryota; Metazoa; Chordata; Actinopteri; Perciformes; Nototheniidae.